AGUAAGAUACGUACUUAUAUAUAAAUAUACUUACUUAAUCGCAACGAACAUAAUGCAAAAUCGGUGAAUUACCACACGAAAUCAGUUGUCAACGAUUUUAUUCGGGUUAUCGGAAUAAAGCUGUCGAUUUACAUCUGUUCCAAAUUCACCUACAAGGAAGAGGAUGAAAUUUUCUUGAAGUGAUUUAAAUAUUGAAAAUCUGUCGCAGCAACGCCUCCUCAGUUAAACAACAACAAAACUGGGCAACCUGUAGAUGAAAGCCUCACUCAAAACACCACAACUCAACCUACAUCCAACAAUAAAAUCUCACCAAUUGGCAAUUACCAUGCUGCUGCCAAAAGCAAACAUUCGUCAACGUCACUGGCCAGUGACCUACCAAUGGCGUGCGACAGUGUCGCUUGGUGCCGCACCCAACACACACUCUCAUCCUCCCGAAUCGCACACCACCGGAAAUGCAUUUCACUCGGCAAAAGAUACGAAAUACUUAAAAAGUUCCUUGGCUAUGCCUUGCACUCACGUGACUUGUGUUGAUGAGUGGCGUAGAAGAGUAGAUGAGAGAAGAAGAGAAAGAGUGUAAGUAAGUAGCGUAAUAUUUAGUAACUAUAUAUGU
Rhagoletis zephyria (snowberry fruit fly) is the source of this 610-nucleotide RNA transcript. RefSeq lists it as uncharacterized. Lineage: Eukaryota; Metazoa; Arthropoda; Insecta; Diptera; Tephritidae. The record is from RefSeq and is a predicted model, not a curated record.